CCAGACUCCUACGGGAGGCAGCAGUGGGGAAUAUUGGACAAUGGGGGCAACCCUGAUCCAGCAAUUCUGUGUGCACGAAGAAGGUUUUCGGAUUGUAAAGUGCUUUCAGCAGGGAAGAAGAAAAUGACUGUACCUGCAGAAGAAGCGACGGCUAAAUACGUGCCAGCAGCCGCGGUAAUACGUAUGUCGCAAGCGUUAUCCGGAAUUAUUGGGCAUAAAGGGCAUCUAGGCGGCCAGAUAAGUCUGGGGUGAAAACUUGCGGCUCAACCGCAAGCCUGCCCUGGAAACUAUAGGGCUGGAGUACUGGAGAGGUGGACGGAACUACACGAGUAGAGGUGAAAUUCGUAGAUAUGUGUAGGAAUGCCGAUGAUGAAGAUAGUUCACUGGACGGUAACUGACGCUGAAGUGCGAAAGCUGGGGGAGCAAACAGGAUUAGAUACCCUGGUAGUCCCAGCCGUAAACGAUGAUUACUGGGUGUGGGCAUGAAGAGUGUCCGUGCCGAAGCAAAUGCGAUAAGUAAUCCGCCUGGGGAGUACGGCCGCAAGGCUGAAACUCAAAGGAAUUGACGGGGGCCCGCACAAG
RNAcentral lists this ribosomal RNA (582 nucleotides) under uncultured bacterium. Its description in RNAcentral is "bacterial SSU rRNA". It matches the Rfam family "Bacterial small subunit ribosomal RNA", at positions 331 to 929 of the family's 1533-position model. The record is from RNAcentral.